GGGGGCCCGCACAAGCGGCGGAGCAUGCGGAUUAAUUCGAUGCAACGCGAAGAACCUUACCAAGGCUUGACAUGAACCGGAAAUACCUGGAAACAGGUGCCCCGCUUGCGGUCGGUUUACAGGUGGUGCAUGGUUGUCGUCAGCUCGUGUCGUGAGAUGUUGGGUUAAGUCCCGCAACGAGCGCAACCCUCGUUCUAUGUUGCCAGCGCGUGAUGGCGGGGACUCAUAGGAGACUGCCGGGGUCAACUCGGAGGAAGGUGGGGACGACGUCAAAUCAUCAUGCCCCUUAUGUCUUGGGCUUCACGCAUGCUACAAUGGCCGGUACAAAGGGUUGCGAUACUGUGAGGUGGAGCUAAUCCCAAAAAGCCGGUCUCAGUUCGGAUUGGGGUCUGCAACUCGACCCCAUGAAGUCGGAGUCGCUAGUAAUCGCAGAUCAGCAACGCUGCGGUGAAUACGUUCCCGGGCCUUGUACACACCGCCCGUCAAGUCACGAAAGUUGGUAACACCCGAAGCCGGUGGCCUAACCCCUUGUGGGAGGGAGCUGUCGAAGGUGGGACUGGCGAUUGGGACUAAGUCGUAACAAGGUAACCGUAAGGGC
RNAcentral lists this ribosomal RNA (598 nucleotides) under uncultured bacterium. RNAcentral describes it as "bacterial SSU rRNA". It matches the Rfam family "Bacterial small subunit ribosomal RNA", at positions 915 to 1509 of the family's 1533-position model. The record is from RNAcentral.